Molecule: ribosomal RNA, 280 nt
Filed under: Coprobacillus sp.
Lineage: Bacteria; Bacillati; Bacillota; Erysipelotrichia; Erysipelotrichales; Coprobacillaceae
Description: partial 23S ribosomal RNA
Rfam family: Bacterial large subunit ribosomal RNA
Source: RNAcentral
CGUGGGCGUAGGAAGUUUGAGGAGAGCUGCCCUCAGUACGAGAGGACCGGGGUGGACAGACCAAUGGUGCACCAGUUGUCACGCCAGUGGCACAGCUGGGUAGCUAAGUCUGGAAGGGAUAAACGCUGAAGGCAUCUAAGUGUGAAGCCCCCUCCAAGAUGAGACUUCCCAUUCUUCGGAAGUAAGACCCCUCAAAGACGAUGAGGUUGAUAGGUCAGAGGUGUAAGCGCAGCGAUGUGCGAAGCUGACUGAUACUAAUAGGUCGAGGACUUAACCAGAA